RNAcentral lists this ribosomal RNA (253 nucleotides) under uncultured bacterium. Its description in RNAcentral is "partial 16S ribosomal RNA". It matches the Rfam family "Bacterial small subunit ribosomal RNA", at positions 524 to 776 of the family's 1533-position model. The record is from RNAcentral.
UACGUAGGGUGCGAGCGUUGUCCGGAAUUAUUGGGCGUAAAGAGCUCGUAGGCGGUUUGUUGCGUCGGCCGUGAAAACUUGGGGCUUAACUCCGAGCUUGCGGUCGAUACGGGCAGACUUGAGUUCGGCAGGGGAGACUGGAAUUCCUGGUGUAGCGGUGAAAUGCGCAGAUAUCAGGAGGAACACCGGUGGCGAAGGCGGGUCUCUGGGCCGAUACUGACGCUGAGAAGCGAAAGCAUGGGGAGCGAGCAGG